RNAcentral lists this small RNA (44 nucleotides) under Arabidopsis thaliana (thale cress). RNAcentral describes it as "ATSL284370". Lineage: Eukaryota; Viridiplantae; Streptophyta; Magnoliopsida; Brassicales; Brassicaceae. The record is from RNAcentral.
UUUUAAUAUUUUAGAGGAGGAUCAAAGUCAAUGUUAUCACGAGA